GGAGGGGGGCUAGCGUUGUUCGGGAAUUACUGGGCGUAAAGCGCGCGUAGGCGGGCUGGUUAGUUCGGGGGGUGAAAUCCCCGAGGGCUCAACCUCGGGAACUGCCCUCAAUACUGCCAGUCUUGAGUUCGAGAGAGGUGAGUGGAAUUCCUAGUGUAGAGGUGAAAUUCGUAGAUAUUAGGAAGAACACCAGUGGCGAAGGCGGCUCACUGGCUCGACACUGACGCUGAGGCGCGAAAGCGUGGGGAGCAAACAGGAUUAGAUACCCUGGUAGUCCACGCCGUAAACGAUGGGUGCUAGUUGUCAGGCAGCUUGCUGUUUGGUGACGCAGCUAACGCGUUAAGCACCCCGCCUGGGGACUACGGUCGCAAGACUA
This 376-nucleotide ribosomal RNA is filed under the name uncultured organism. RNAcentral's name for it is "partial 16S ribosomal RNA". It matches the Rfam family "Bacterial small subunit ribosomal RNA", at positions 526 to 896 of the family's 1533-position model. The record is from RNAcentral.